RNAcentral lists this ribosomal RNA (433 nucleotides) under uncultured bacterium. Its description in RNAcentral is "partial 16S ribosomal RNA". It matches the Rfam family "Bacterial small subunit ribosomal RNA", at positions 29 to 507 of the family's 1533-position model. The record is from RNAcentral.
AACGAACGCUGGCGGCAUGCCUAACACAUGCAAGUCGAACGAGGCCUUCGGGUCUAGUGGCGCACGGGUGCGUAACGCGUGGGAACCUGCCCUUAGGUUCGGAAUAACUCCCCGAAAGGGGUGCUAAUACCGGAUAAUGUCUUCGGACCAAAGAUUUAUCGCCUUUGGAUGGGCCCGCGUUGGAUUAGCUAGUUGGUAGGGUAAAAGCCUACCAAGGCGACGAUCCAUAGCUGGUCUGAGAGGAUGAUCAGCCACACUGGGACUGAGACACGGCCCAGACUCCUACGGGAGGCAGCAGUGGGGAAUAUUGGACAAUGGGCGAAAGCCUGAUCCAGCAAUGCCGCGUGAGUGAUGAAGGCCUUAGGGUUGUAAAGCUCUUUUAGCCGGGAUGAUAAUGACAGUACCGGGAGAAUAAGCCCCGGCUAACUCCGUG